Non-coding RNA from Myotis brandtii (Brandt's bat), 75 nucleotides. The record is from Rfam. Lineage: Eukaryota; Metazoa; Chordata; Mammalia; Chiroptera; Vespertilionidae.
GGAAAUUCUCAGGUGACACACCCUGGAAUCGGGCUCCCUUCUCUCUUGUUCCAGGUGCAUCAGCCAAGAACCACA